CCUACGGGAGGCAGCAGUGAGGAAUAUUGGUCAAUGGACGAGAGUCUGAACCAGCCAAGUAGCGUGAAGGAUGACUGCCCUAUGGGUUGUAAACUUCUUUUAUAUGGGAAUAAAAUGUUCCACGUGUGGGAUUUUGUAUGUACCAUAUGAAUAAGGAUCGGCUAACUCCGUGCCAGCAGCCGCGGUAAUACGGAGGAUCCGAGCGUUAUCCGGAUUUAUUGGGUUUAAAGGGAGCGUAGGUGGAUUGUUAAGUCAGUUGUGAAAGUUUGCGGCUCGACCGUAAAAUUGCAGUUGAAACUGGCAGUCGUGAGUACAGUAGAGGUGGGCGGAAUUCGUGGUGUAGCGGUGAAAUGCUUAGAUAUCACGAAGAACUCCGAUUGCGAAGGCAGCUCACUGGACUGCAACUGACACUGAGGCUCGAAAGUGUUGGUAUCAAACAGGAUUAGAUACCCCAGUAGUC
Molecule: ribosomal RNA, 460 nt
Filed under: uncultured bacterium
Lineage: Bacteria
Description: partial 16S ribosomal RNA
Rfam family: Bacterial small subunit ribosomal RNA
Source: RNAcentral